This 46-nucleotide transfer RNA is filed under the name Ceratitis curvata. RNAcentral describes it as "tRNA-Pro". Lineage: Eukaryota; Metazoa; Arthropoda; Insecta; Diptera; Tephritidae. The record is from RNAcentral.
UUAUCAUUAAUCCCCAAAAUUAAUAUUUUUAUUAAACUACCUCCUG